Molecule: long non-coding RNA, 1283 nt
Organism: Coregonus clupeaformis (lake whitefish)
Lineage: Eukaryota; Metazoa; Chordata; Actinopteri; Salmoniformes; Salmonidae
Exons: 5
Source: RefSeq, a predicted model, not a curated record
CCUAGUGGGCGGAGCGACUUUUGUAGUCUUUUUAGUCAUGUCAACAACAUGCCGGAGUCCAGAAGUGAGGCAGAGACACGAGAAAGAACUUCUAAAAACAUAAUUUCGAUCACUAGGUUUGGCCUCUGAGAUCCCAGCAAGGUUCAUAGAGGGAGAGUCCAGACCGUCACAGAGAGAGCCCUGGAGGAGGGGUACACCCCCAUCUACCUCCCUCUCCUCCCCCCUGCUGGCUAAAGGUGGUGGUGGUGGUGGUGUGUUUCCCCUGGCUGUGCACCUGGUGGGGGUGGAGCUGACCCCAGAGGGGAGGGUGUGGCUGGAGCAGCACCUGAGCCCGGCCCAGACGGUGUGGUUCAAACUGUUCAGCAGAGAGGAGGAGACACUACACUGUCUGGUGUCUGUUAGCGGGGCCAGUUACUGUCUGGUGUCUGUUAGCGGGGGGUCAUAGAGGAGUCUGUGUCUGAAUGACGAGGUGUUGAGGUUGGGUCUGGCACGCACCGUCCCAGUCUCUGGACUCCACCCCCAGUCCUGCGGCUCCACCAACGGCUACUCAGGGCAGAGGUCAAGGCUGAGCGGAAGGGGCGGGGCAUGUGGAAAGAAGACAGCCUAUGGGAGAGGACCUCACAGGCUGUCUGACUCAGACUCAUCAGGAGGAUCUUCAAGUGGACGUGAUUGGUUGACUGACAGUGAUUGGUUGAUUCAAGUGGGUUUGAAAGUGUGCUGGAGUCAGAGCAGAUCCCCACCAGCUGCAACCUGUUCCAUAAUCAAGACCUCUACAAAUACUCAGUCCUGCCACUUCCACACUGCCAGAUCGUAAUCUCUGCUCAGUCAGUCUACGGUUCUAGCCGUUUGUUACUAAUCAGAUCCUGUUGUGCCUGUUUUCCUCUCCGCUACAGUUCUGGUCCCUGUCUCCUGUCCCACGUCUCAUCAUCCUCCUACUCUGUCCUGGAUUCCCCACUCUACUACUCCCUUGGAUUCCCCUCCGGACCUGCUCACCCUGUCUCAACCCCCUUCGCUCCAGCCGCUUCCAGCAGUUUCCCCUGACCUGCACUCCAUCUCCCCCCUGUGUCUCAAUAAAUACCUUGGUUACUUCAUUCCAUUCAUCAGAGUCUGCUCUUGGGUUCCCCUGUUCCACUCCGCGUAACACGUGGGAUAGACAUUUGUUGAUGUUUGAUUAGAUCAUGUAAAAAAGAACUUGCCAGUGAGAAAAAUCCACAUAUCUAAGUCAAUUGCAAUGUUUUAGAAUCUUUACCUGAUUGUGAAAUAAAUAUUCAUUGGUUCAUUCA